UCCCUGGUGGUCUACUGGCUAGGACUUGGCACUUUCAUUGCUGCGGUCCAGGUUCAAUCCCUGGUCUGGGAA
Molecule: transfer RNA, 72 nt
Organism: Sus scrofa (pig)
Lineage: Eukaryota; Metazoa; Chordata; Mammalia; Artiodactyla; Suidae
Rfam family: tRNA
About the family: Transfer RNA (tRNA) molecules are approximately 80 nucleotides in length. Their secondary structure includes four short double-helical elements and three loops (D, anti-codon, and T loops).
Source: Rfam